GUGCUCACUUUGGCAGCACAUAUGCUAAAAUUGCAAUGAUAUGGAGAAUAUUAGCAUGGCCCCUGCACAAGGAUGACAUGCAAAUUCGUGAAGCAUUCCAUAUUUUU
Molecule: small nuclear RNA, 107 nt
Filed under: Prolemur simus (greater bamboo lemur)
Lineage: Eukaryota; Metazoa; Chordata; Mammalia; Primates; Lemuridae
Source: RNAcentral